UGCCAGCAGCCGCGGUAAUACGGAGGGGGCAUGCGUUGUUCGGAAUUACUGGGCGUAAAGCGCGCGUAGGCGGACUGGUCAGUUGGGGGUGAAAUCCCAAGGCUCAACCUUGGAACUGCCUUCAAAACUGCCAGUCUUGAGUCCGGGAGAGGUGAGUGGAAUUCCUAGUGUAGAGGUGAAAUUCGUAGAUAUUGGGAAGAACACCAGUGGCGAAGGCGGCUAACUGGCUCGGUACUGACGCUGAGAUGCGAAAGCGCGUGGAGCAAACAGGAUUAGAUA
RNAcentral lists this ribosomal RNA (279 nucleotides) under uncultured bacterium. RNAcentral describes it as "partial 16S ribosomal RNA". It matches the Rfam family "Bacterial small subunit ribosomal RNA", at positions 506 to 784 of the family's 1533-position model. The record is from RNAcentral.